AGUGAACGCUGGCGGUAGGCCUAACACAUGCAAGUCGAACGGCAGCACAGUAAGAGCUUGCUCUUACGGGUGGCGAGUGGCGGACGGGUGAGGAAUACAUCGGAAUCUACUUUUUCGUGGGGGAUAACGUAGGGAAACUUACGCUAAUACCGCAUACGACCUACGGGUGAAAGCAGGGGAUCUUCGGACCUUGCGCGAUUGAAUGAGCCGAUGUCGGAUUAGCUAGUUGGCGGGGUAAAGGCCCACCAAGGCGACGGUCCGUAGCUGGUCUGAGAGGAUGAUCAGCCCCACUGGAACUGAGACACGGUCCAGACUCCUACGGGAGGCAGCAGUGGGGAAUAUUGGACACUGGGCGCAAGCCUGAUCCAGCCAUACCGCGUGGGUGAAGAAGGCCUUCGGGUUGUAAAGCCCUUUUGUUGGGAAAGACAAGCAGCAGGUUAAUACCCCGCUGUUCUGACGGUACCCAAAGAAUAAGCACCGGCUAACUUCGUG
RNAcentral lists this ribosomal RNA (492 nucleotides) under uncultured bacterium. RNAcentral's name for it is "partial 16S ribosomal RNA". It matches the Rfam family "Bacterial small subunit ribosomal RNA", at positions 29 to 507 of the family's 1533-position model. The record is from RNAcentral.